UACGUAGGUCGCAAGCGUUGUCCGGAAUUACUGGGCGUAAAGGGCUCGUAGGCGGCCAACUAAGUCCGACGUGAAAUCCCCAGGCUUAACCUGGGAACUGCGUCGGAUACUGGAUGGCUUGAAUUCGGGAGAGGGAUGCAGAAUUCCAGGUGUAGCGGUGAAAUGCGUAGAUAUCUGGAGGAAUACCGGUGGCGAAGGCGGCAUCCUGGACCGACAUUGACGCUGAUGAGCGAAAGCUAGGGGAGCAAACGGG
Molecule: ribosomal RNA, 253 nt
Filed under: uncultured bacterium
Lineage: Bacteria
Description: partial 16S ribosomal RNA
Rfam family: Bacterial small subunit ribosomal RNA
Source: RNAcentral